AGAGUUUGAUCAUGGCUCAGAUUGAACGCUGGCGGUAAGCCUUAAACAUGCAAGUCGUGCGGUAACAGACAUAAAGAUUUAGCUUGCUAAAUCCGGUGCUGACGAGCGGCGAACGGGUGAGUAACACGUAGGAAUCUACCCAGUAGCGGGGGAUAGCCCAGGGAAACUUGGAUUAAUACCGCAUACGCCCUAAGGGGAAAAGAAGGCCUCUCUUUGAAGCUUUCACUAUUGGAUGAGCCUGCGUAAGAUUAGCUUGUUGGUGGGGUAAAGGCCUACCAAGGCAACGAUCUUUAGCUGGUCUGAGAGGACGAUCAGCCACAUUGGGACUGAGACACGGCCCAGACUUCUACGGAAGGCAGCAGUUAGGAAUAUUGGACAAUGGGGGCAACCCUGAUCCAGCUAUACCGCGUGUGUGAAGAAGGCCCUAGGGUUGUAAAGCACUUUAAGCAGGGAAGAAGCAUAUUAAGUUAAUACCUUAGUAUGUUGACGUUACCUGAAGAAUAAGGACCGGCUAACUCCGUGCCAGCAGCCGCGGUAAUACGGAGGGUCCAAGCGUUAAUCGGAAUUACUGGGCGUAAAGCGCGCGUAGGCGGUUUAAUAAGUUGUAUGUGAAAGCCCUGGGCUCAACCUAGGAACUGCAUACAAAACUAUUAAGCUUGAGGACGAGAGAGGAGAGUAGAAUUUCAGGUGUAGCGGUGAAAUGCGUAGAUAUCUGAAGGAAUACCAAUGGCGAAGGCAGCUCUCUGGCUCGUUUCUGACGCUGAGUGCGAAAGCGUGGGUAGCAAACAGGAUUAGAUACCCUGGUAGUCCACGCCGUAAACGAUGAUAACUAGCCGUUGGGCAGAUUUAACUGUUCAGUGGCACAGCUAACGCAUUA
RNAcentral lists this ribosomal RNA (877 nucleotides) under uncultured bacterium. Its description in RNAcentral is "bacterial SSU rRNA". It matches the Rfam family "Bacterial small subunit ribosomal RNA", at positions 8 to 862 of the family's 1533-position model. The record is from RNAcentral.